AUUUCUUUGAAGCGUCUCUUGAUACGUCCAAAUUUGAGAUCCAUCUGUUGCUUUAGAUGUCGCUCCCAUUGUUGCAAAGUUUUGUCCCUAUAUUCAAGGGCUUUAGUUCCACGAUCACUGUUGCAAGAACCACCAUAAUUGCCACUUCCAUCAAUGUAAGUCAUGUAGAUAAACCUAAAUUCUUGGGGAAAAUCUAGAUAGAAUAGGAA
RNAcentral lists this unclassified non-coding RNA (209 nucleotides) under Hevea brasiliensis (rubber tree). Lineage: Eukaryota; Viridiplantae; Streptophyta; Magnoliopsida; Malpighiales; Euphorbiaceae. The record is from RNAcentral.